UUCCGUACGGGAACCUGCGGAAGGAUCAUUA
Molecule: ribosomal RNA, 31 nt
Filed under: Candida albicans
Lineage: Eukaryota; Fungi; Ascomycota; Pichiomycetes; Serinales; Debaryomycetaceae
Description: partial 18S ribosomal RNA
Source: RNAcentral